Molecule: ribosomal RNA, 536 nt
Filed under: Penicillium citreonigrum
Lineage: Eukaryota; Fungi; Ascomycota; Eurotiomycetes; Eurotiales; Aspergillaceae
Description: eukaryotic LSU rRNA
Rfam family: 5.8S ribosomal RNA (bases 158-311)
Source: RNAcentral
GGGUCCAACCUCCCACCCGUGUUUAUCGUACCUUGUUGCUUCGGCGGGCCCGCCGCAAGGCCGCCGGGGGGCAUCUGCCCUCUGGCCCGCGCCCGCCGAAGACACCAUUGAACGCUGUCUGAAGAUUGCAGUCUGAGCAAUUAGUUAAAUAACUUAAAACUUUCAACAACGGAUCUCUUGGUUCCGGCAUCGAUGAAGAACGCAGCGAAAUGCGAUACGUAAUGUGAAUUGCAGAAUUCAGUGAAUCAUCGAGUCUUUGAACGCACAUUGCGCCCCCUGGUAUUCCGGGGGGCAUGCCUGUCCGAGCGUCAUUGCUGCCCUCAAGCACGGCUUGUGUGUUGGGCUCCGUCCUCCUCCCGGGGGACGGGCCCGAAAGGCAGCGGCGGCACCGCGUCCGGUCCUCGAGCGUAUGGGGCUUCGUCACCCGCUCUGUAGGCCCGGCCGGCGCUUGCCGACACAUCAAUCUUUUUUCCAGGUUGACCUCGGAUCAGGUAGGGAUACCCGCUGAACUUAAGCAUAUCAAUAAGCGGAGGAAA